This is a long non-coding RNA of Saccostrea echinata, 368 nucleotides long. RefSeq lists it as uncharacterized. The record is from RefSeq and is a predicted model, not a curated record. NCBI's taxonomy places the organism in Eukaryota, Metazoa, Mollusca, Bivalvia, Ostreida, Ostreidae. The transcript is spliced from 3 exons.
GGAUGGUCAGCAUGGUCAAACUUCAGUGAACAUUGUAGUGGUAGUUGUGGUCAAGGUUUACGGCUCAGAACGCGCACCUGCUCUGAGCCACAUCCUCAAUAUGGGGGUCAGGACUGUUCAGGAAACUCAACGGAAGGCAUACUUUGCAACCUCACAGCGUGUCCAGUUGAUGGAAUUUGGGGUCAUUGAGGUCGCUUCCGGCCUUGUGACAUGUCAUGUGGUGGAGGAAUACAUAUCAGAGUAAGGGAAUGUAAAAAUCCGCCACCUUCUCAUGGAGGACUACCGUGUCCUGGCAAGGACCUGGAAUCUGAGGCAUGUAACAUACAGCCGUGCCCAGAUCACAUGAAAUCUACAACUUCCUCAGCAAC